GAUGAACGCUAGCGGCAGGCUUAAUACAUGCAAGUCGAGGGGCAGCGCGGGUAGCAAUACCUGGCGGCGACCGGCAAACGGGUGCGGAACACGUACAGAACCUUCCUUUAAGCGGGGGAUAGCCCAUAGAAAUGUGGAUUAAUACCCCAUAGUAAUACUAGCUGGCAUCAGUUGGUAUUUAAGAUUUAUCACUUAAAGAUGGCUGUGCGGCUGAUUAGGUAGUUGGUGCGGGUAACGGCCCACCAAGCCAGCGAUCAGUAACUGGUGUGAGAGCACGACCAGUCACACGGGCACUGAGACACGGGCCCGACUCCUACGGGAGGCAGCAGUAAGGAAUAUUGGUCAAUGGACGCAAGUCUGAACCAGCCAUGCCGCGUGAAGGAUGAAGGCCCUCUGGGUUGUAAACUUCUUUUAUCUGGAAGAAAUGCUUGCUUUUUAGCGAGUUUGACGGUACCAGAGGAAUAAGCACCGGCUAACUCCGU
RNAcentral lists this ribosomal RNA (482 nucleotides) under uncultured bacterium. RNAcentral's name for it is "bacterial SSU rRNA". It matches the Rfam family "Bacterial small subunit ribosomal RNA", at positions 28 to 506 of the family's 1533-position model. The record is from RNAcentral.